GCGGAUGGCUGGAUGACCGCGGCUGCCCAUAGCUCCGCGUUUCGCGGAUAGCUGGGGGGUCGAGGAAAGUCCGGACUCCAUGAAGCGGCGGUGCCGGGUAACGCCCGGCGGGGGAAACCCUAGGGAAAGCGCCACAGAGAAGAGACCGCCCUGCUUGCAGGGUAAGGGUGAAACGGUGGGGUAAGAGCCCACCGCGGGACGGGUAACCGGACCGGCACGGCAAGCCCCACCGGGAGCAACGCCGAAUAGGGACCACGCGCCGCUCGCGGCAGGGGAGCUUCGCCCCGAGUGGUCCGGGUUGGCGGCUAGAUCCUGCGGGCAACCGCAGGGCCAGAGGAAUGGUCAUCCAGGGGGCAACCCCGGACAAAAUCCGGCUUACAGGCCAUCCGCGCAA
Molecule: RNase P RNA, 394 nt
Filed under: Sedimentimonas flavescens
Lineage: Bacteria; Pseudomonadati; Pseudomonadota; Alphaproteobacteria; Rhodobacterales
Also listed under: 1 other name
Description: RNase P RNA component class A
Rfam family: Bacterial RNase P class A
About the family: Ribonuclease P (RNase P) is a ubiquitous endoribonuclease, found in archaea, bacteria and eukarya as well as chloroplasts and mitochondria. Its best characterised activity is the generation of mature 5'-ends of tRNAs by cleaving the 5'-leader elements of precursor-tRNAs.
Source: RNAcentral